CCUACGGGAGGCAGCAGUGAGGAAUAUUGGUCAAUGGGCGGGAGCCUGAACCAGCCAAGUCGCGUGAGGGAAGACGGUCCUAUGGAUUGUAAACCUCUUUAGGCGGGGAGCAAUGCCGGGCACGCGUGCCCGGAGGGAGAGUACCCGCAGAAUAAGCAUCGGCUAACUCCGUGCCAGCAGCCGCGGUAAUACGGGGGAUGCGAGCGUUAUCCGGAUUUUUUGGGUUUAAAGGGUGCGUAGGCGGAUUUUUAAGUCAGCGGUAAAUUGUCCGGGCUCAACCCGGGCCGGCCGUUGAAACUGGGGAUCUUGAGUGGGCGAGAAGUAUGCGGAAGGCGUGGUGUAGCGGUGAAAUGCAUAGAUAGCACGCAGAACUCCGAUUGCGAAGGCAGCAUACCGGCGCCCGACUGACGCUGAGGCACGAAAGCGUGGGGAUCGAACAGGAUUAGAUACCCGAGUAGUC
RNAcentral lists this ribosomal RNA (460 nucleotides) under uncultured bacterium. RNAcentral's name for it is "partial 16S ribosomal RNA". It matches the Rfam family "Bacterial small subunit ribosomal RNA", at positions 338 to 795 of the family's 1533-position model. The record is from RNAcentral.